UACGUAGGUGACAAGCGUUGUCCGGAUUUACUGGGCGUAAAGAGCGCGCAGGCGGUCGUUCAAGUCGAGUGUGAAAGCCCCCGGCUCAACUGGGGAGGGUCAUUCGAUACUGAUCGACUCGAAGGCGGGAGAGGGUAGUGGAAUUCCCGGUGUAGUGGUGAAAUGCGUAGAUAUCGGGAGGAACACCAGUGGCGAAGGCGACUACCUGGCCUGUUCUUGACGCUGAGGCGCGAAAGCUAGGGGAGCAAACGGG
RNAcentral lists this ribosomal RNA (253 nucleotides) under uncultured bacterium. RNAcentral describes it as "partial 16S ribosomal RNA". It matches the Rfam family "Bacterial small subunit ribosomal RNA", at positions 524 to 776 of the family's 1533-position model. The record is from RNAcentral.